RNAcentral lists this ribosomal RNA (497 nucleotides) under uncultured bacterium. RNAcentral's name for it is "partial 16S ribosomal RNA". It matches the Rfam family "Bacterial small subunit ribosomal RNA", at positions 28 to 507 of the family's 1533-position model. The record is from RNAcentral.
GAUGAACGCUGGCGGCGUGCCUAAUACAUGCAAGUCGAGCGAACAGACGAGGAGCUUGCUCCUCUGACGUUAGCGGCGGACGGGUGAGUAACACGUGGAUAACCUACCUAUAAGACUGGGAUAACUUCGGGAAACCGGAUCUAAUACCGGAUAAUAUAUUGAACCGCAUGGUUCAAUAGUGAAAGACGGUUUUGCUGUCACUUAUAGAUGGAUCCGCGCCGCAUUAGCUAGUUGGUAAGGUAACGGCUUACCAAGGCAACGAUGCGUAGCCGACCUGAGAGGGUGACCGGCCACACUGGAACUGAGACAGGGUCCAGACUCCUACGGGAGGCAGAAGUAGGGAAUUUUCGGCAAUGGGCGAAAGCCUGACGGAGCAACGCCGCGUGAGUGAUGAAGGUCUUCGGAUCGUAAAACUCUGUUAUUAGGGAAGAACAAAUGUGUAAGUAACUAUGCACGUCUUGACGGUACCUAAUCAGAAAGCCACGGCUAACUACGUG